RNAcentral lists this transfer RNA (70 nucleotides) under Caudoviricetes sp. RNAcentral describes it as "tRNA-Asn". It matches the Rfam family "tRNA". From Rfam's summary of the family: Transfer RNA (tRNA) molecules are approximately 80 nucleotides in length. Their secondary structure includes four short double-helical elements and three loops (D, anti-codon, and T loops). Further hydrogen bonds mediate the characteristic L-shaped molecular structure. tRNAs have two regions of fundamental functional importance: the anti-codon, which is responsible for specific mRNA codon recognition, and the 3' end, to which the tRNAs corresponding amino acid is attached (by aminoacyl-tRNA synthetases). tRNAs cope with the degeneracy of the genetic code in two manners: having more than one tRNA (with a specific anti-codon) for a particular amino acid; and 'wobble' base-pairing, i.e. permitting non-standard base-pairing at the 3rd anti-codon position. The record is from RNAcentral. Lineage: Duplodnaviria; Heunggongvirae; Uroviricota; Caudoviricetes.
GGGAGUGUAGCUCAGUUGGUUAGAGCGCAUGAUUGUUAAUCAUGAUGUUCAAGUCCUUCUAUUCCCGCCA